GUGUCGUCGUAGCAACAAGUAGUUGUUUAGCAGUCCUAGUUGGAGGUUUUUCUUCUUGUAUCACACUUUAUGCAGAUAGCUCAAGUGGGAAAUAAAAUCCCGCUCAUAUCCUACA
Strongylocentrotus purpuratus (purple sea urchin) is the source of this 115-nucleotide long non-coding RNA. RefSeq lists it as uncharacterized. The record is from RefSeq and is a predicted model, not a curated record. NCBI's taxonomy places the organism in Eukaryota, Metazoa, Echinodermata, Echinoidea, Camarodonta, Strongylocentrotidae. The transcript is spliced from 2 exons.